UAACAGUGAUGGAGGUCAGAUAUAACAGUGAUGGAGGUCAGAUAUAACAGUGAUGGAGGUCAGAUAUAACAGUGAUGGAGGUCAGAUAUAACAGUGAUGGAGGUCAGAUAUAACAGUGAUGGAGGUCAGAUAUAACCGUGAUGGAGGUCAGAUAUAACAGUGGACCCUGGUCAGAUAUAACAGUGAUGGAGGUCAGAUAUAACAGUGAUGGAGGUCAGAUAUAACAGUGAUGGAGGUCAGAUAUAACAGUGAUGGAGGUCAGAUAUAACAGUGAUGGAGGUCAGAUAUAACAGUGGACCCUGGUCAGAUAUACCAGUGGACCCUGGUCAGAUAUAACAGUGAUGGAGGUCAGAUAUAACCGUGAUGGAGGUCAGAUAUAACAGUGAUGGAGGUCAGAUAUAACAGUGAUGGAGGUCAGAUAUAACAGUGAUGGAGGUCAGAUAUAACAGUGAUGGAGGUCAGAUAUAACAGUGAUGGAGGUCAGAUAUAACAGUGAUGGAGGUCAGAUAUAACAGUGAUGGAGGUCAGAUAUAACCGUGAUGGAGGUCAGAUAUAACCGUGAUGGAGGUCAGAUAUAACAGUGAUGGAGGUCAGAUAUAACAGUGAUGGAGGUCAGAUAUAACAGUGAUGGAGGUCAGAUAUAACAGUGAUGGAGGUCAGAUAUAACAGUGGACCCUGGUCAGAUAUAACAGUGAUGGAGGUCAGAUAUAACAGUGAUGGAGGUCAGAUAUAACAGUGAUGGAGGUCAGAUAUAACAGUGAUGGAGGUCAGAUAUAACAGUGAUGGAGGUCAGAUAUAACAGUGAUGGAGGUCAGAUAUAACAGUGAUGGAGGUCAGAUAUAACAGUGAUGGAGGUCAGAUAUAACAGUGAUGGAGGUCAGAUAUAACAGUGAUGGAGGUCAGAUAUAACAGUGGACCCUGGUCAGAUAUACCAGUGGACCCUGGUCAGAUAUAACAGUGAUGGAGGUCAGAUAUAACCGUGAUGGAGGUCAGAUAUAACAGUGAUGGAGGUCAGAUAUAACAGUGAUGGAGGUCAGAUAUAACAGUGAUGGAGGUCAGAUAUAACCGUGAUGGAGGUCAGAUAUAACAGUGAUGGAGGUCAGCGAUAAAUCAGCUUCACGUUGAUUUUUUGAUGAACAGCAGAUAGCAUCUCAACUUGAAUCGGGAUCUGCUCAUUUUUAAAGGAUUUCACAAGAUGGAUUGAGAGGCAGAAUAAAAACGAGGAAAUUAAAUGCACACACACACACACACACACUCAGUCACUCGUUUUUUCACACACACUCAGCUGUUCUCUCAGAUAAAUCCAAACAUUAUGUUUCGUUAACGUGGGACGCUGUAAGUUCCAGGAAGGUUGAUAGGAAAGAACACGCUCUGCUCUCUGUUCCCCAGGACAUAAAUCUCUACUUCUGCAACUUUACAUCAACAUGACUUGGAAAUAUUGAGAUAAACAAAGGGAGAAAAUAGAGAAGGAGAGAAACAAAGGGAGAAAAUAGAGGAGAAGAAGGAGAGAAACAAAGGGAGAAAAUAGAGGAGAAGAAGGAGAGAAACAAAGGGAGAAAAUAGAGAAGAAGAAGGAGAGAAA
Molecule: long non-coding RNA, 1582 nt
Organism: Oncorhynchus keta (chum salmon)
Lineage: Eukaryota; Metazoa; Chordata; Actinopteri; Salmoniformes; Salmonidae
Exons: 5
Source: RefSeq, a predicted model, not a curated record